Small nucleolar RNA from Artibeus jamaicensis (Jamaican fruit-eating bat), 136 nucleotides. RefSeq annotates it as small nucleolar RNA SNORA4. Lineage: Eukaryota; Metazoa; Chordata; Mammalia; Chiroptera; Phyllostomidae. The record is from RefSeq and is a predicted model, not a curated record. The transcript has a single exon.
AUACCAAAAGUGUUUUUUUAGAGGGAGGUUUUUUAAAUAACCUUUACCAACUUGGGCGAUUUGGGAGAAUAAAUGACCACACUCCACAGUGGGCUAUAUCACUAAACAUAUAGUUCACUAUUUUGUGGCCUGCAUG